This 465-nucleotide ribosomal RNA is filed under the name Vreelandella stevensii. RNAcentral describes it as "partial 16S ribosomal RNA". It matches the Rfam family "Bacterial small subunit ribosomal RNA", at positions 338 to 795 of the family's 1533-position model. The record is from RNAcentral. Lineage: Bacteria; Pseudomonadati; Pseudomonadota; Gammaproteobacteria; Oceanospirillales; Halomonadaceae.
CCUACGGGCGGCUGCAGUGGGGAAUAUUGGACAAUGGGGGGAACCCUGAUCCAGCCAUGCCGCGUGUGUGAAGAAGGCCCUCGGGUUGUAAAGCACUUUCAGUGAGGAAGAACGCCUGGUGGUUAAUACCCAUCAGGAAAGACAUCACUCACAGAAGAAGCACCGGCUAACUCCGUGCCAGCAGCCGCGGUAAUACGGAGGGUGCGAGCGUUAAUCGGAAUUACUGGGCGUAAAGCGCGCGUAGGUGGCUUGAUAAGCCGGUUGUGAAAGCCCCGGGCUCAACCUGGGAACGGCAUCCGGAACUGUCAAGCUAGAGUGCAGGAGAGGAAGGUAGAAUUCCCGGUGUAGCGGUGAAAUGCGUAGAGAUCGGGAGGAAUACCAGUGGCGAAGGCGGCCUUAUGGACUGACACUGACACUGAGGUGCGAAAGCGUGGGUAGCAAACAGGAUUAGAUACCCGUGUAGUC